Molecule: ribosomal RNA, 473 nt
Filed under: uncultured bacterium
Lineage: Bacteria
Description: bacterial SSU rRNA
Rfam family: Bacterial small subunit ribosomal RNA
Source: RNAcentral
UGGGGAAUUUUGGACAAUGGGCGCAAGCCUGAUCCAGCCAUGCCGCGUGAGUGAAGAAGGCCUUCGGGUCGUAAAGCCCUGUCAGCAGGGAAGAAACUCCGGGAUUCGAAUAGGGUCUCGGAUUGACGGUACCUGCGGAGGAAGCACCGGCUAACUCCGUGCCAGCAGCCGCGGUAAUACGUAGGGUGCAGGCGUUAAUCGGAAUUACUGGGCGUAAAGCGUGCGCAGGCGGCUCCUUAAGUCAGAUGUGAAAUCCCCGGGCUUAACCUGGGAACUGCGUUUGAAACUGAGGGGCUAGAGUGUGGAAGAGGGGGGUGGAAUUCCAGGUGUAGCAGUGAAAUGCGUAGAGAUCUGGAGGAACACCGAUGGCGAAGGCAGCCCCCUGGGCUAACACUGACGCUCAUGCACGAAAGCGUGGGGAGCAAACAGGAUUAGAUACCCACGUAGUCCCUGAGCGGGCUGGCAAGGCGCAU